ACCGUGAAAAACCGCGGAGGCUAGACGGGUUGCCAACAUACUCCCUUUUAACGCAGAUAGAAUCAACAGAAAUCAUACUCUCCUCUUUCAAAAUAUAUUCGAAUUUUUUCACAUACUCUCCUCUCGAUCUAGUCAAUAGAGUUGUCUACUACAGUUGUCUACUAUGUCAUAUGAAUAUUUAACUACGCAAUCCAGAGUCAUUUGAUACCUCUUUGGGGCUGUCGAUAUCAUUUAGUGACUACAGCAAAAAUCUCUCCGACAUAUGACACAAAUUGAAUAUGAAUUAGAGCUACCUCAAAAUAGCUACUUCAUGCUACCGAAAGAAGAUAACUCCAAGCCAGCACUGGCGUGUCUACACUAUAGUGCAUCAUAGUAUUGCUUUUUGUCACUGUAACGAUUUUUUUUAUACAUUUGGUUAUUAUUCCAUUCAUUGUACAUUUCGUGUUGAUUUUUCAGAUGAUUUCCUAGUUUUUCUAAACUGUGAAAUAGUGAGAAAAAUUCGAUAAAGGCGAAAUGUGGCUUAUUAAAGUAUUUUAACUGAAUUGUGACCGCUUUUCAGAGAUGAUGAAACAUUCCGUAGAACAGUUGUGACAAUGAUUGUGGCAUUGGUCGUUGCAGUUUUUUUCGCUGACUGCUCUGAUGAUGCAUCGUUAUCAACUCGUGUGGAGCAAAACUACACAUUUGGAGAACGUAUCGAUUCUGAUCACCCAUUUUAUGAAUAUUACGAAUGCAGAAAUUAUGGUAGCAAGGUAACUGCAUUCACGAAGUGUACGAAAUUCAUCGAUCCUAAGAACGUAACUUAAGCUUAUUUUGUCACUAACAAGACAACGGAAAUCGAAAAUGUGUAUAUAAGCAAGGGUGGAAUUGACCAAGAAAUGGUCGAAUUCUGUCCUACAGUCGAAAAUGUUCGUUCUUAUUGCUUCUCCAUUCAAAUGUAUGGAUUUGAAAACAGUUAUGACCUGGCUUGAGAAGGAAAUAUAGGAUAAAAUCAAAUUGAAUGAAACAUUGAAAAAGAAUUGACGAAAAAAUAAAAAUAAAAGUUCAAAAUUAACUUCCGGUUCGUACUUUCUAUACUUACAAAUUUAAAUUGUUGAACCUAUUUGCUGCUGAAAAUAAUCGGAGAAUAUCACAUCGCACACUCUAUAGAGUGCCAACAACUGUAUAAAGCAAUAUAUCAAAUGGUUGUAUAUAUAAUAUUUUCUGGUGGCUUGUUUACACCCAUUUUGUACAUGUUGAUUGUCUGUUAGUGUCAACCUGUUGUAUACAAAAGCUGAUAAUUUUUCGUUUCAUGACCAGCAUAAAUGCACAGUUGAGAAUUAAAAUCAAAGUCCGAAAAAAAUGACAUC
This is a long non-coding RNA of Sitodiplosis mosellana (orange wheat blossom midge), 1346 nucleotides long. RefSeq lists it as uncharacterized. The record is from RefSeq and is a predicted model, not a curated record. NCBI's taxonomy places the organism in Eukaryota, Metazoa, Arthropoda, Insecta, Diptera, Cecidomyiidae. The transcript is spliced from 3 exons.